This 492-nucleotide ribosomal RNA is filed under the name uncultured bacterium. Its description in RNAcentral is "partial 16S ribosomal RNA". It matches the Rfam family "Bacterial small subunit ribosomal RNA", at positions 29 to 507 of the family's 1533-position model. The record is from RNAcentral.
AGUGAACGCUGGCGGUAGGCCUAACACAUGCAAGUCGAACGGCAGCACAGUAAGAGCUUGCUCUUACGGGUGGCGAGUGGCGGACGGGUGAGGAAUACAUCGGAAUUUACUUUUUCGUGGGGGAUAACGUAGGGAAACUUACGCUAAUACCGCAUACGACCUACGGGUGAAAGCAGGGGAUCUUCGGCCCUUGCGCGAUUGAAUGAGCCGAUGUCGGAUUAGCUAGUUGGCGGGGUAAAGGCCCACCAAGGCGACGAUCCGUAGCUGGUCUGAGAGGAUGAUCAGCCACACUGGAACUGAGACACGGUCCAGACUCCUACGGGAGGCAGCAGUGGGGAAUAUUGGACAAUGGGCGCAAGCCUGAUCCAGCCAUACCGCGUGGGUGAAGAAGGCCUUCGGGUUGUAAAGCCCUUUUGUUGGGAAAGAAAAGCAGCAGGUUAAUACCCCGCUGUUCUGACGGUACCCAAAGAAUAAGCACCGGCUAACUUCGUG